CAGUCGAACGAACUCUGGUAUUGAUUGGUGCUUGCAUCAUGAUUUACAUUUGAGUGAGUGGCGAACUGGUGAGUAACACGUGGGAAACCUGCCCAGAAGCGGGGGAUAACACCUGGAAACAGAUGCUAAUACCGCAUAACAACUUGGACCGCAUGGUCCGAGUUUGAAAGAUGGCUUCGGCUAUCACUUUUGGAUGGUCCCGCGGCGUAUUAGCUAGAUGGUGGGGUAACGGCUCACCAUGGCAAUGAUACGUAGCCGACCUGAGAGGGUAAUCGGCCACAUUGGGACUGAGACACGGCCCAAACUCCUACGGGAGGCAGCAGUAGGGAAUCUUCCACAAUGGACGAAAGUCUGAUGGAGCAACGCCGCGUGAGUGAAGAAGGGUUUCGGCUCGUAAAACUCUGUUGUUAAAGAAGAACAUAUCUGAGAGUAACUGUUCAGGUAUUGACGGUAUUUAACCAGAAAGCCACGGCUAACUACGUGCCAGCAGCCGCGGUAAUACGUAGGUGGCAAGCGUUGUCCGGAUUUAUUGGGCGUAAAGCGAGCGCAGGCGGUUUUUUAAGUCUGAUGUGAAAGCCUUCGGCUCAACCGAAGAAGUGCAUCGGAAACUGGGAAACUUGAGUGCAGAAGAGGACAGUGGAACUCCAUGUGUAGCGGUGAAAUGCGUAGAUAUAUGGAAGAACACCAGUGGCGAAGGCGGCUGUCUGGUCUGUAACUGACGCUGAGGCUCGAAAGUAUGGGUAGCAAACAGGAUUAGAUACCCUGGUAGUCCAUACCGUAAACGAUGAAUGCUAAGUGUUGGAGGGUUUCCGCCCUUCAGUGCUGCAGCUAACGCAUUAAGCAUUCCGCCUGGGGAGUACGGCCGCAAGGCUGAAACUCAAAGGAAUUGACGGGGGCCCGCACAAGCGGUGGAGCAUGUGGUUUAAUUCGAAGCUACGCGAAGAACCUUACCAGGUCUUGACAUACUAUGCAAAUCUAAGAGAUUAGACGUUCCCUUCGGGGACAUGGAUACAGGUGGUGCAUGGUUGUCGUCAGCUCGUGUCGUGAGAUGUUGGGUUAAGUCCCGCAACGAGCGCAACCCUUAUUAUCAGUUGCCAGCAUUAAGUUGGGCACUCUGGUGAGACUGCCGGUGACAAACCGGAGGAAGGUGGGGAUGACGUCAAAUCAUCAUGCCCCUUAUGACCUGGGCUACACACGUGCUACAAUGGAUGGUACAACGAGUUGCGAACUCGCGAGAGUAAGCUAAUCUCUUAAAGCCAUUCUCAGUUCGGAUUGUAGGCUGCAACUCGCCUACAUGAAGUCGGAAUCGCUAGUAAUCGCGGAUCAGCAUGCCGCGGUGAAUACGUUCCCGGGCCUUGUACACACCGCCCGUCACACCAUGAGAGUUUGUAACACCCAAAGUCGGUGGGG
Molecule: ribosomal RNA, 1410 nt
Filed under: Lactiplantibacillus plantarum
Lineage: Bacteria; Bacillati; Bacillota; Bacilli; Lactobacillales; Lactobacillaceae
Description: bacterial SSU rRNA
Rfam family: Bacterial small subunit ribosomal RNA
Source: RNAcentral